This 445-nucleotide ribosomal RNA is filed under the name uncultured bacterium. RNAcentral describes it as "bacterial SSU rRNA". It matches the Rfam family "Bacterial small subunit ribosomal RNA", at positions 354 to 796 of the family's 1533-position model. The record is from RNAcentral.
GUGAGGAAUAUUGGACAAUGGGCGCAAGCCUGAUCCAGCCAUGCCGCGUGCAGGAUGACGGUCCUAUGGAUUGUAAACUGCUUUUGCACAGGAAGAAACAACGCUACGUGUAGCGUCUUGACGGUACUGUGAGAAUAAGGAUCGGCUAACUCCGUGCCAGCAGCCGCGGUAAUACGGAGGAUCCAAGCGUUAUCCGGAAUCAUUGGGUUUAAAGGGUCCGUAGGCGGUUUAGUAAGUCAGUGGUGAAAGCCCAUCGCUCAACGGUGGAACGGCCAUUGAUACUGCUAGACUUGAAUUAUUAGGAAGUAACUAGAAUAUGUAGUGUAGCGGUGAAAUGCUUAGAGAUUACAUGGAAUACCAAUUGCGAAGGCAGGUUACUACUAAUGGAUUGACGCUGAUGGACGAAAGCGUGGGUAGCGAACAGGAUUAGAUACCCGAGUAGUCC